RNAcentral lists this ribosomal RNA (468 nucleotides) under uncultured bacterium. Its description in RNAcentral is "partial 16S ribosomal RNA". It matches the Rfam family "Bacterial small subunit ribosomal RNA", at positions 28 to 507 of the family's 1533-position model. The record is from RNAcentral.
GACGAACGCUGGCGGCGUGCUUAACACAUGCAAGUCGAACGGUGAAGCUCCAGCUUGCUGGAGUGGAUCAGUGGCGAACGGGUGAGUAACACGUGAGCAACCUGCCCCUGACUCUGGAAUAAGCGCUGGAAACGGCGUCUAAUACUGGAUACGAGAAGGGUCCGCAUGGGCACUUUCUGGAAAGUUUUUCGGUUGGGGAUGGUCUCGCGGCCUAUCAGCUUGUUGGUGAGGUAAUGGCUCACCAAGGCGACGACGGGUAGCCGGCCUGAGAGGGCGACCGGCCACGCCGGGACUGGAACAGGGCACAGACUCCUACGGGAGGCAGCGGAGGGGAAUAUUGCACAAUGGGAGAAAGCCUGAUGCAGCGACGCCGCGAGGGGGAUGACGGCAUUCGGGUUGUAAACCUCUUUCAGCAGGGAAGAAGCGAAAGUGACGGUACCUGCAGAAGAAGCUCCGGCUAACUACGUG